GAGUUUGAUCAUGGCUCAGAUUGAACGCUGGCGGCAUGCCUUACACAUGCAAGUCGAACGGCAGCACGGGAGCUUGCUCCUGGUGGCGAGUGGCGAACGGGUGAGUAAUGCAUCGGAACGUAUCCUGGAGUGGGGGAUAACGUAGCGAAAGUUACGCUAAUACCGCAUAUUCUGUGAGCAGGAAAGCGGGGGACCUUCGGGCCUCGCGCUCUUGGAGCGGCCGAUGUCGGAUUAGCUAGUUGGUGAGGUAAAGGCUCACCAAGGCGACGAUCCGUAGCAGGUCUGAGAGGAUGAUCUGCCACACUGGAACUGAGACACGGUCCAGACUCCUACGGGAGGCAGCAGUGGGGAAUUUUGGACAAUGGGGGCAACCCUGAUCCAGCCAUGCCGCGUGAGUGAAGAAGGCCUUCGAG
This 413-nucleotide ribosomal RNA is filed under the name bacterium enrichment culture clone ALO1_GLFRUDD03FXLB3. RNAcentral describes it as "bacterial SSU rRNA". It matches the Rfam family "Bacterial small subunit ribosomal RNA", at positions 9 to 422 of the family's 1533-position model. The record is from RNAcentral.